RNAcentral lists this ribosomal RNA (164 nucleotides) under Spigelia anthelmia. RNAcentral describes it as "5.8S ribosomal RNA". It matches the Rfam family "5.8S ribosomal RNA". Rfam says of the family: 5.8S ribosomal RNA (5.8S rRNA) is a component of the large subunit of the eukaryotic ribosome. It is transcribed by RNA polymerase I as part of the 45S precursor that also contains 18S and 28S rRNA. Functionally, it is thought that 5.8S rRNA may be involved in ribosome translocation. The record is from RNAcentral. RNAcentral also lists the same sequence under 45 other names. Lineage: Eukaryota; Viridiplantae; Streptophyta; Magnoliopsida; Gentianales; Loganiaceae.
AAAACGACUCUCGGCAACGGAUAUCUCGGCUCUCGCAUCGAUGAAGAACGUAGCAAACUGCGAUACUUGGUGUGAAUUGCAGAAUCCCGUGAACCAUCGAGUCUUUGAACGCAAGUUGCGCCCGAAGCCAUUAGGCCGAGGGCACGUCUGCCUGGGCGUCACGC